This 1039-nucleotide ribosomal RNA is filed under the name Promicromonospora sp. RNAcentral describes it as "bacterial SSU rRNA". It matches the Rfam family "Bacterial small subunit ribosomal RNA", at positions 430 to 1473 of the family's 1533-position model. Lineage: Bacteria; Bacillati; Actinomycetota; Actinomycetes; Micrococcales; Promicromonosporaceae. The record is from RNAcentral.
CUCCUUUCAGCAGGAAAGAAGCGCAAGUGACGGUACCUGCAGAAGAAGCGCCGGCUAACUACGUGCCAGCAGCCGCGGUAAUACGUAGGGCGCAAGCGUUGUCCGGAAUUAUUGGGCGUAAAGAGCUCGUAGGCGGUCUGUCGCGUCUGGUGUGAAAUCCCAUGGCUCAACUAUGGGCUUGCAUCGGGUACGGGCAGACUAGAGUGCUGUAGGGGAGACUGGAAUUCCUGGUGUAGCGGUGGAAUGCGCAGAUAUCAGGAGGAACACCGAUGGCGAAGGCAGGUCUCUGGGCAGUCACUGACGCUGAGGAGCGAAAGCAUGGGGAGCGAACAGGAUUAGAUACCCUGGUAGUCCAUGCCGUAAACGUUGGGCACUAGGUGUGGGGCCAGUUCCACUGGUUCUGUGCCGUAGCUAACGCAUUAAGUGCCCCGCCUGGGGAGUACGGCCGCAAGGCUAAAACUCAAAGGAAUUGACGGGGGCCCGCACAAGCGGCGGAGCAUGCGGAUUAAUUCGAUGCAACGCGAAGAACCUUACCAAGGCUUGACAUGUACGAGAAAGCCCCAGAGAUGGGGUUCUCUUUGGACACUCGUACACAGGUGGUGCAUGGUUGUCGUCAGCUCGUGUCGUGAGAUGUUGGGUUAAGUCCCGCAACGAGCGCAACCCUUGUCCCAUGUUGCCAGCGGGUUAUGCCGGGGACUCAUGGGAGACUGCCGGGGUCAACUCGGAGGAAGGUGGGGAUGACGUCAAAUCAUCAUGCCCCUUAUGUCUUGGGCUUCACGCAUGCUACAAUGGCCGGUACAGAGGGCUGCGAUACCGUGAGGUGGAGCGAAUCCCAAAAAGCCGGUCUCAGUUCGGAUCGGGGUCUGCAACUCGACCCCGUGAAGUCGGAGUCGCUAGUAAUCGCAGAUCAGCAACGCUGCGGUGAAUACGUUCCCGGGCCUUGUACACACCGCCCGUCAAGUCACGAAAGUUGGUAACACCCGAAGCUCACGGCCCAACCCCUUGUGGGAGGGAGUGGUUCGAAAGGGUGGGCCCUAGA